UACGGGGGGGGCAAGCGUUGUUCGGAAUUACUGGGCGUAAAGGGCGCGUAGGCGGCCUUCUAAGUCGGACGUGAAAUCCCUCGGCUCAACCGAGGAACUGCGUCCGAUACUGAAAGGCUUGAAUCCGGGAGAGGGAUGUGGAAUUCCAGGUGUAGCGGUGAGAUGCGUAGAUAUCUGGAGGAACACCGGUGGCGAAGGCGGCAUCCUGGACCGGCAUUGACGCUGAGGCGCGAAAGCUAGGGGAGCAAACGGG
This 253-nucleotide ribosomal RNA is filed under the name uncultured bacterium. RNAcentral describes it as "partial 16S ribosomal RNA". It matches the Rfam family "Bacterial small subunit ribosomal RNA", at positions 524 to 776 of the family's 1533-position model. The record is from RNAcentral.